GAUGAACGCUGGCGGCGUGCCUAAUACAUGCCAGUCGAGCGAACGGACGAGAAGCUUGCUUCUCUGAUGUUAGCGGCGGACGGGUGAGUAACACGUGGAUAACCUACCUAUAAGACUGGGAUAACUUCGGGAAACCGGAGCUAAUACCGGAUGAUAUUUUGAACCGCAUGGUUCAAAAGUGAAAGACGGUCUUUCUGUCACUUAUAGAUGGAUCCGCGCUGCAUUAGCUAGUUGGUAAGGUAACGGCUUACCAAGGCAACGAUGCAUAGCCGACCUGAGAGGGUGAUCGGCCACACUGGAACUGAGACACGGUCCAGACUCCUACGGGAGGCAGCAGUAGGGAAUCUUCCGCAAUGGGCGAAAGCCUGACGGAGCAACGCCGCGUGAGUGAUGAAGGUCUUCGGAUCGUAAAACUCUGUUAUUAGGGAAGAACAUAUGUGUAAGUAACUGUGCACAUCUUGACGGUACCUAAUCAGAAAGCCACGGCUAACUACGUG
Molecule: ribosomal RNA, 497 nt
Filed under: uncultured bacterium
Lineage: Bacteria
Description: partial 16S ribosomal RNA
Rfam family: Bacterial small subunit ribosomal RNA
Source: RNAcentral